Molecule: ribosomal RNA, 673 nt
Filed under: Fischerella thermalis PUPCCC 510.2
Lineage: Bacteria; Bacillati; Cyanobacteriota; Cyanophyceae; Nostocales; Hapalosiphonaceae
Description: bacterial SSU rRNA
Rfam family: Bacterial small subunit ribosomal RNA
Source: RNAcentral
UCGGACGGGGUGAGUAACGCGUGAGAAUCUAGCUUCAGGUUCGGGACAACAUUGGGAAACCGAUGCUAAUACCGGAUGUGCCGAGAGGUGAAAGGCUUGCUGCCUGAAGAAGAGCUCGCGUCUGAUUAGCUAGUUGGUGGUGUAAGGGACUACCAAGGCGACGAUCAGUAGCUGGUCUGAGAGGAUGAUCAGCCACACUGGAACUGAGACACGGUCCAGACUCCUACGGGAGGCAGCAGUGGGGAAUUUUCCGCAAUGGGCGAAAGCCUGACGGAGCAAUACCGCGUGAGGGAGGAAGGCUCUUGGGUUGUAAACCUCUUUUCUCAAGGAAGAAGUAAUGACGGUACUUGAGGAAUCAGCAUCGGCUAACUCCGUGCCAGCAGCCGCGGUAAUACGGAGGAUGCAAGCGUUAUCCGGAAUGAUUGGGCGUAAAGCGUCCGCAGGUGGUUGUGUGUGUCUAUUGUCAAAGCAUCAUGCUUAACAUGAUAAAGGCAGUAGAAACUACACGACUAGAGUGCGUUCGGGGCAGAGGGAAUUCCUGGUGUAGCGGUGAAAUGCGUAGAGAUCAGGAAGAACACCGGUGGCGAAAGCGCUCUGCUAGGCCGCAACUGACACUGAGGGACGAAAGCUAGGGGAGCGAAUGGGAUUAGAUACCCAGAUAGUCACGCGUUAU